Molecule: ribosomal RNA, 254 nt
Filed under: uncultured bacterium
Lineage: Bacteria
Description: partial 16S ribosomal RNA
Rfam family: Bacterial small subunit ribosomal RNA
Source: RNAcentral
UACGGAGGGAGCUAGCGUUGUCCGGAAUCACUGGGCGUAAAGGGCGCGUAGGUGGCGAUCCAAGUCCAUGGUGAAAGCUCGAUGCUCAACAUCGAGUCGGCCACGGAUACUGGGUUGCUUGAGCACUGUAGGGGCAGAUGGAAUUCCGGGUGUAGCGGUGGAAUGCGCAGAUAUCAGGAGGAACACCUGAGGUGAAGACGGGUUGCUGGGCCGACACUGACGCUGAGUGCGCGAAAGCCAGGGGAGCAAACGGG